UGAGAGAGGCGCACACGCGCACACACGUGGACUGUGACACCGGCCCCACACUCUCCACGGGGGGGAGAAUGUGGGAAAUUAUUGACACAUUGGGGCAACCCUUACCGCCGAUGCCGCGUGUGUGGGAAGACGGCUUUCGUUUUAUAAACCUCUUUUCCGGGAAAAAACGCAAUGUGAUAGUACCUGCUGAAGAAGACCCUGCUAGCUAAAUAAGGACCGGCUAACUAAUACUCAGGGCACACGCUUUACCUAAAUUAUUAGCCGUAAUCAGCUCUACUGCGGCUUGUCACGCGGUUGCGAAAGUGCGAGACUUAUCCCCAGUUCUCCAGUUUAUCCUGGCAGUUUAAAUUUCGACUGCGCAGAUAGAAUUUCCUGGAGCAGCGUGAAAUGCACAUAUAUCAGGAAGAACACCAGUGAUGAAGGGAAUCUCUGUGGCGAUCUGACCUUGGACAAAAGGAGGCUAGCGAAAAAUAGAUCCCUAACAGCCAACAUACACCGGAGGCACACCUAGGUGUGGUCAACUUUCACGUGUCCGUCCGCAGUAACGCAUAAAGUGCCCCGCAUGGGGAGUACGGCCGCAAGGCUAAAACUCAAAUGAAUUGAAAAGGACCCGCACAAGCCCCGGAGCAUGUGGCUUAAUUUUACGUAACGUGAAGAACAUUACCAAGGCUUGACAUACACCGGAACCAUCCAGAGAUGGGUCCCCCUUGUGGUCGGUGUACAGGUGAGCAUGACAUCGUCAGCUCAUGUCGUGAGAUAUUGGGUGAAGUCCGGCAACGAGCGCAACCCGCUCCCGUCUCGCCAGCAGUCCCUAGUGGUUAUGGGGGCUCACUGGAGAGAGCCGGCGUCAACUAAUAGGAAGGAAGGGGGGAAGUAAAGUAAUCAUUCCCCGCCUUUAUUGGGAGGCACACGCGCUUCAAUCAAUGGUGCAAUGAGAUGGGAUACAACGAGGUGGAGGGAAUCUCUACAAGAAGGUCUCAGUUAGUACGGGGGUCUGUAACUAGAUCCCAUGAAGUAAGAGGGAAUAGUAAUUACUGAUCAUCAAUCAUGCGGCGGAGAAUAUAUUCCC
RNAcentral lists this ribosomal RNA (1069 nucleotides) under Streptomyces sp. RNAcentral's name for it is "bacterial SSU rRNA". It matches the Rfam family "Bacterial small subunit ribosomal RNA", at positions 291 to 1375 of the family's 1533-position model. The record is from RNAcentral. Lineage: Bacteria; Bacillati; Actinomycetota; Actinomycetes; Kitasatosporales; Streptomycetaceae.